This is a long non-coding RNA of Brassica oleracea var. oleracea, 685 nucleotides long. RefSeq lists it as uncharacterized. NCBI's taxonomy places the organism in Eukaryota, Viridiplantae, Streptophyta, Magnoliopsida, Brassicales, Brassicaceae. The transcript is spliced from 2 exons. The record is from RefSeq and is a predicted model, not a curated record.
GUAUUUCGGUUCAACUCACCGAAAACAUAGAAAUUUGUAAACGUUACAGAAUCUGUCUAUAUUCAGGCAUCAUCACUUUAAAGCAGUUACUAACAAUAGCUCCCACUCCUAUCACGAUUCAUCAAUGAAUACAUCCCUAACUUUCUUUCUCUGAAUUUCAACUAUAAUAAGGUGGAGAAAAGAAUAUAGAACGGAUGAGAGAUCAGAUCUGUUGUUGAAGCUAGAUUACGAUGUGUUUUAGAAGCAUGGUCUGGAAAUCUUCUACGAGGGCUGACUUUAUCUGAGGAGAUAGCUCGAUGGGUUCUGUAAUUUGUUUCUUCGUUGAGGUUGAAUCGAAGAACUGAGGUCGGAGAGCGGAGGGUCUGUUGUGGAUUAUCUACCUUUUUUAACUUUACCAUCAUCUAUCUUUCAACAACUUUUUGAUUUGUUUAUCUUUGCCAACUGGAUUGACAACUCUUCUACUUAUUUUAUGCUUCAGUGGCGGGAUUCAAUGAGAUAAUAAUUAAUUUUGGUUUUGAUUCAUCGGUCGAAGAUUCCUAUUUUGAAUUUGGUGUUUUUUUUGCUUUUUUCUCUUUCUAUUUAGUAUUAGGAUUAUUGUGACAACAACAAUUGUGAUAAAUGGAGCAUCUGAAGGAAGAGCAAUAGAGCAUUGUAACGAAGAUCAUCACGUCGUGCUUUGUUUUUA